RNAcentral lists this ribosomal RNA (393 nucleotides) under uncultured bacterium. Its description in RNAcentral is "partial 16S ribosomal RNA". It matches the Rfam family "Bacterial small subunit ribosomal RNA", at positions 523 to 918 of the family's 1533-position model. The record is from RNAcentral.
AUACGUAGGGGGCGAGCGUUGUCCGGAUUUAUUGGGUUUAAAGGGAGCGUAGGUGGAUUGUUAAGUCAGUUGUGAAAGUUUGCGGCUCAACCGUAAAAUUGCAGUUGAAACUGGCAGUCUUGAGUACAGUAGAGGUGGGCGGAAUUCGUGGUGUAGCGGUGAAAUGCUUAGAUAUCACGAAGAACUCCGAUUGAGAAGGCAGCUCCCUAGACUGUUAAUGACACUGAUGCUCGAAAGUGCGGGUGUCAAACAGGAUUAGAUACACCGAUAGGCCACACAGUAAGCGAUGAAUACUCGCUGUUUGCGAUAUACAGUAAGCGGCCAAGCGAAAGCAUUAAGUAUUCCACCUGGGGAGUACGCCAGCAACGGUGCAACUCAAAGGAAUUGGCGGGG